AUGUUUUAUGAAAGGAGGGAAGAUUAGCAUUCCCCUUGACAGAGGAAGUAGAGGCACUCAGAACCAACAACACCCAUUCAGUUGAGCAUUACCACCUACUUCACAGCAUCUGACCAGGUUCUGU
Molecule: small nuclear RNA, 124 nt
Organism: Nycticebus coucang (slow loris)
Lineage: Eukaryota; Metazoa; Chordata; Mammalia; Primates; Lorisidae
Source: RefSeq, a predicted model, not a curated record